UAGGGAAUCUUCGGCAAUGGACGAAAGUCUGACCGAGCAACGCCGCGUGAGUGAAGAAGGUUUUCGGAUCGUAAAACUCUGUUGUUAGAGAAGAACAAGGACGUUAGUAACUGAACGUCCCCUGACGGUAUCUAACCAGAAAGCCACGGCUAACUACGUGCCAGCAGCCGCGGUAAUACGUAGGUGGCAAGCGUUGUUCGGAUUUAUUGGGCGUAAAGCGAGCGCAGGCGGUUUCUUAAGUCUGAUGUGAAAGCCCCCGGCUCAACCGGGGAGGGUCAUUGGAAACUGGGAGACUUGAGUGCAGAAGAGGAGAGUGGAAUUCCAUGUGUAGCGGUGGAAUGCGUAGAUAUAUGGAGGAACACCAGUGGCGAAGGCGGCUCUCUGGUCUGUAACUGACGCUGAGGGUCGAAAGCGUGGGGAGCAAACAGG
RNAcentral lists this ribosomal RNA (429 nucleotides) under Chloroflexota bacterium. RNAcentral's name for it is "Chloroflexi bacterium partial 16S ribosomal RNA". It matches the Rfam family "Bacterial small subunit ribosomal RNA", at positions 355 to 776 of the family's 1533-position model. Lineage: Bacteria; Bacillati; Chloroflexota. The record is from RNAcentral.